CUAAGUGGGAACAUAAAGCCGGACUUUUCGCAAUAGACCAUCCAACAAUUUCAUUUCAAUAAUCAAAAGUAUCUAGGUGGGAACAUUAGCAGAUGAAAAAUGCCAAAUUGAAAGCAGUAACUCGGCAAUAAUCAAGAAUAUAACAGGAAGCCAAAAACUAGAAAGUGGGAACAUCAAGCCAACUUUUUUUUUUUUUUAAUUCUGUAAAUUCGCCAAAAAAAAGAAAAUCAAGAUGCUUUUCCGGUUUUCCCGAUUGCUCUUCUGGGAUCUUCUGUAUGUUUUCGUAGAGAGGGAGAGGGAGAGAGAGAGAGACAGACUGUGAAAGAAAAAAAAAGGAGUGAUCGAUCUAGAUAUAAAAACUGUGAGGAGAUCUGAAAUUCAGGGUUUGUUUUGGGUUGCUCGGGUUUUGGUAUGUAGAGAGAGAGAGAGAGAGAGACUGUGAAAGGAAAAAAAAAGAGUGAUCGAUCUAGAUUUAGAAACUGUGAAAGGAGAGGAGAAGAGGGAUUUGAGUGUAGGUUUGUUUUGGCUUGCUCGGGGAAAUUUGAAGUUUAGUGGUCCUGUUGGAGGGUGGUGUGGAACGAGAAGAGGUUUACUUUCAGUAUCACAACAUAUUCACUUUUGGUGUGCAAACAAUUAUCUAUAUUGUAAGUUUGGGCUGAUUAUGAAGAUAUCAGGAACAGUGUGCGAUCCAAAAUUUGAAAGUGCUUUCAACUUGGAGAUGGAAGAUAAAAGAGGAAUAGAGGAAAGGGGAAGAUCUCGGCGAUAAUAGACCGGCUGGAAGUUAUUUUCUCUUUCAAAGUGCAAACACUGAGGUCAAAAGAGGGGACGACAAAUCAAUUGGAUAAUUAUGUCGGGGGUAUUGUUCGUGCUUCAGUUUGGGAUUUGAGUGAUUGAGUGGAGGAGGUUCAAGGUAGGUUUGAUGGGCGAGGCACGGUCACUCCAAAGGGAUCUUAAUUGAAUUACUGACACUGCAAAUACUUACUCCAAAGGGUUUGAGCUAUAUUUUGACAGGUGAACUAUCAGUUAUCCUCUUCCCAUUUGAUUUUGAUUUGUUUUCUUUUAUAUGCAGUAUACCUUUUUCUUUUUUUGUCUGGAUUUGUUUGAGAAAAGGCACAGAGAUAGAGAGAGAAUUGAUAGAUUAGAGAGAGAAUUGUUUGGGUAGAUUAGAGAGAAGAAGAGGGAUCUGAGUUUGGGUUGCUCGGUGGAAUUUGAAGUUUAGUGAUCCUGCUGAAAGGGGGUGUGCAAGGAGAAGAGGUAAUUGUUUAUAGUGAUUGAUUGCUAUACAUAAAAUUCUUCUUCUUUCUUAAUCUGCUGUUUGAGUCUGUCUGAAAGUGAUUAAAUUUAUCUUUGUGAGUUGGAAUGAAUUUGUUUUGUAGUAUUUAAUCAUUUUGAAGAACAAGUUUUUCUUUUGUUUGCUUCUGGUAUGUUUGAAUGAAUAUUUUAAGUUCCAUCUCUGAUAAUUUGAAAAAGGUAAGAGGAAAAGAAUAGAACAAGGUUGGAAUGUUGUGGAUUGCAGUUAAAUUUUUUUUUCUAUUAUUUUUAUAUGCUCUUCUUAGAUUUGGACUACUUCCAAAUAGAGGUGAGCAUAUAGACUCUUGGUUAAUCUUGAAGAUGACAGCUAAAUGAAAUAAUUUGAAUGAGUGGUUGUUGAAAAUAUGAAUGCAAUCAUUAAACUAAUCAAAAAGUGAUGUUCAUACUGACAAGGCGUAUCGGACAUGCAUAUUAUGAGGUUGAUUGUAAUAUUUUAGUGGUAGGAUUUAAGUGUGCCACUGAUAUUAGAAACAUGAAAUGAUGUCAGAGAUCCUACAAACUAGAGCCAUGCCACUGAUAUUAGAAUUUCCAAGCCAGGUUUUGUUACUUAUUUUUCAUUUGUGGUAUUCUUUUUCUUGGUUUGUAGUAAAGUUCCUCUGUUCUUAAAAACCAAAGAAAAUAGUAGCAGAAGCUGUGGAUAGCAUUUGAACUUUAGUUAUGGUAACUUAAAAACUUUUAUUAAUUUUUGUUUUGUUAUAUCCUGUUUGUUCUUCUAUGGUAACUGGACUGUAUAUUGAAUCCAAGUACUUCCUUUGUUUGCCUCUUAGAAUAUCAAACAAAUAUGAUAAAUGUUUGGCUGUAAUUUUUAUUUGGAGGAUGAUAACCCUUGGAUUGGUAGUGCACUGAUCAUAUUAAAAGCCAAGUACUGCCAAGACUAACAGAGGAGCUAUACCUCUUAUGUGAAAAUCACUAAGAAACAAAUUCUCAGACAAAUUCAACAUGCUUUGGUCUUUCAUUUUUGUUUCCUAUACAAGAAUCAUCUUUUGUUCUGUAUAAGUUCAAUGCUCUUUCUCCA
Molecule: long non-coding RNA, 2326 nt
Organism: Rosa rugosa (rugosa rose)
Lineage: Eukaryota; Viridiplantae; Streptophyta; Magnoliopsida; Rosales; Rosaceae
Exons: 7
Source: RefSeq, a predicted model, not a curated record